GGCCCCAUGGUCUAGUGGUUAGGACUCCGCUCUUUCAAGGCGGCGGCACGGGUUCGAUUCCCGUUGGGGCUACCA
Molecule: transfer RNA, 75 nt
Filed under: Armatimonadota bacterium
Lineage: Bacteria; Bacillati; Armatimonadota
Also listed under: 2 other names
Description: tRNA-Glu
Rfam family: tRNA
About the family: Transfer RNA (tRNA) molecules are approximately 80 nucleotides in length.
Source: RNAcentral